Potamilus streckersoni is the source of this 74-nucleotide non-coding RNA. The record is from the annotation of a GenBank genome assembly. NCBI's taxonomy places the organism in Eukaryota, Metazoa, Mollusca, Bivalvia, Unionida, Unionidae.
CACUCUGGUGGCCUAGUGGUUUUAGCAUCUGCCUCGGAUGUGGGAGGUUGUGGGUUUGAUCCCUGUCAGAGUCA